This is a long non-coding RNA of Etheostoma spectabile (orangethroat darter), 165 nucleotides long. RefSeq lists it as uncharacterized. The transcript is spliced from 3 exons. The record is from RefSeq and is a predicted model, not a curated record. NCBI's taxonomy places the organism in Eukaryota, Metazoa, Chordata, Actinopteri, Perciformes, Percidae.
UCAAUCUGGUUUGUCACAAGAAAUCGUACAAGGCACAAUUCCAGUGAAAUCUUAUCCCAUCAGCUCCUUAAACUUGCGCAGGGUUCAUCAUAAAGCAGAAUGUGGCCGUCAGAUCGGCACACAGAAAAAGAGUCACCCUGUUGAAAGAGCAGCAGCACACAAAGA